UAGCUCAAUAGUAGAGCACUUGUCUGGUAUGCAUGAGACCCUGGGUUCUAUACCCAG
RNAcentral lists this transfer RNA (57 nucleotides) under Ictidomys tridecemlineatus (thirteen-lined ground squirrel). Its description in RNAcentral is "Spermophilus tridecemlineatus (thirteen-lined ground squirrel) tRNA". It matches the Rfam family "tRNA", at positions 8 to 63 of the family's 71-position model. From Rfam's summary of the family: Transfer RNA (tRNA) molecules are approximately 80 nucleotides in length. Their secondary structure includes four short double-helical elements and three loops (D, anti-codon, and T loops). The record is from Rfam by way of RNAcentral. Lineage: Eukaryota; Metazoa; Chordata; Mammalia; Rodentia; Sciuridae.